Long non-coding RNA from Brassica oleracea var. oleracea, 187 nucleotides. RefSeq lists it as uncharacterized. NCBI's taxonomy places the organism in Eukaryota, Viridiplantae, Streptophyta, Magnoliopsida, Brassicales, Brassicaceae. The transcript is spliced from 3 exons. The record is from RefSeq and is a predicted model, not a curated record.
UUCUUCAAAGAAGGUCACGGAACAAUUACACUACAGAUGGACGGAUCCAUAGGCAUGAAGCUUCUUCAAAGAAUAUCACCGAACAAUUGCAAUACAGGUCAAGACGAGUGUGGCAUUGUAGAUUCACGGAGUAGACAAAGUCACGGGCCAAGAAGAGUGUGACGUUGUAUUCUUGUGUUGUGUCAGU